RNAcentral lists this long non-coding RNA (393 nucleotides) under Carica papaya (papaya). RNAcentral describes it as "long non-coding RNA (CPAP_LNC008321)". The record is from RNAcentral. Lineage: Eukaryota; Viridiplantae; Streptophyta; Magnoliopsida; Brassicales; Caricaceae.
AAGUGGGUAAUAGUGAAGCAUGGACAACUGACUCGAAGACGUCAUAUAAUGACUCAAGCUAUCUUGUAACAAGGGCAUCAAAUAGUUAAUUAUUAAGGUCAACUCUCUACAUCUUAUUCAACUCUUACAGCAUGGUGGAGAUCAUCUUUAUUCUCCCUCUAAGAUCAUUGAUAAGAUUAGAUACAUAUUUAACAAAAAUUGGAUGGUUAAGAUCUCCCAUAACUACCAUGAAGGCAACACAUUUGCUAAAUGGCUUUUGUCUUGGACUUACCACAAUUUGAUGGGUCUCCCUGCUUUUUACCUCAAGCUCCUAAAGACAUAUAAAGAUAUCUCUUAUUGGAAUGUUGUGACUCGGCUUGGAUCCAUCUUGUUGGGUACUAACCCUUUUUUCCC